GUGAAUCAUCGAAUUUUUGAACGCAAAUUGCGCCUUUUUCGGAAGGCAUGUCUGUUUGAGGGCACCAUUUAACAAAUAAUGUGCACCGUUUUGUGUGUGCACACGUUGAUGAGCUUUCCAGGAAAAAUUUUUUUUUUUUUUUUUUUUUGGUGGCCCAUAAUGAAAAGCGGAAAAGCUUUUUUUCAUUUGGGUG
This 193-nucleotide unclassified non-coding RNA is filed under the name Paraglomerales sp. RNAcentral's name for it is "partial contains 5.8S ribosomal RNA and internal transcribed spacer 2". The stretch from base 1 to 65 matches the Rfam family "5.8S ribosomal RNA", at positions 84 to 154 of the family's 154-position model. Lineage: Eukaryota; Fungi; Glomeromycota; Glomeromycetes; Paraglomerales. The record is from RNAcentral.